GACGAACGCUGGCGGCGUGCUUAACACAUGCAAGUCGAACGAUGAAGCCUAGCUUGCUAGGUGGAUUAGUGGCGAACGGGUGAGUAAUACGUGAGUGACCUACCUUUGACUCUGGGAUAAGCCUGGGAAACUGGGUCUAAUACCGGAUACGACCAAUCUCCGCAUGGGGUGUUGGUGGAAAGCGUUAUGGAGUGGUUUUAGAUGGGCUCACGGCCUAUCAGCUUGUUGGUGAGGUAAUGGCUUACCAAGGCGACGACGGGUAGCCGGCCUGAGAGGGUGACCGGCCACACUGGGACUGAGACACGGCCCAGACUCCUACGGGAGGCAGCAGUGGGGAAUAUUGCACAAUGGGCGCAAGCCUGAUGCAGCGACGCCGCGUGAGGGAUGACGGCCUUCGGGUUGUAAACCUCUGUUAGCAUCGAAGAAGCGAAAGUGACGGUAGGUGCAGAGAAAGCGCUGGCUAACUACGUG
This 471-nucleotide ribosomal RNA is filed under the name uncultured bacterium. Its description in RNAcentral is "partial 16S ribosomal RNA". It matches the Rfam family "Bacterial small subunit ribosomal RNA", at positions 28 to 507 of the family's 1533-position model. The record is from RNAcentral.